UACAGGGGGAGCAAGCGGUAAUCGGAAUUACUGGGCGUAAAGCGCGCGUAGGUGGUUUGGUAAGUCGGUUGUGAAAUCCCCGGGCUUAACCUGGGAAUUGCAGUCGAUACUGUCUGACUCGAGUGUGGAAGAGGGAAGCGGAAUUUCCGGUGUAGCGGUGAAAUGCGUAGAUAUCGGAAGGAACACCAGUGGCGAAGGCGGCUUCCUGGUCCACCACUGACACUGAGUCGCGAAAGCGUGGGUAGCUAACAGG
This 253-nucleotide ribosomal RNA is filed under the name uncultured bacterium. RNAcentral describes it as "partial 16S ribosomal RNA". It matches the Rfam family "Bacterial small subunit ribosomal RNA", at positions 524 to 776 of the family's 1533-position model. The record is from RNAcentral.